RNAcentral lists this transfer RNA (71 nucleotides) under Sphyraena japonica (Japanese barracuda). RNAcentral's name for it is "tRNA-Arg". It matches the Rfam family "tRNA". From Rfam's summary of the family: Transfer RNA (tRNA) molecules are approximately 80 nucleotides in length. Their secondary structure includes four short double-helical elements and three loops (D, anti-codon, and T loops). Further hydrogen bonds mediate the characteristic L-shaped molecular structure. tRNAs have two regions of fundamental functional importance: the anti-codon, which is responsible for specific mRNA codon recognition, and the 3' end, to which the tRNAs corresponding amino acid is attached (by aminoacyl-tRNA synthetases). tRNAs cope with the degeneracy of the genetic code in two manners: having more than one tRNA (with a specific anti-codon) for a particular amino acid; and 'wobble' base-pairing, i.e. permitting non-standard base-pairing at the 3rd anti-codon position. Lineage: Eukaryota; Metazoa; Chordata; Actinopteri; Sphyraenidae. The record is from RNAcentral.
AGAUAAUUAGUUUAAUGAAAACACUUGAUUUCGGCUCAAGAAACCUGUGGUUAGGAGUCCACAAUUGUCUA